Molecule: ribosomal RNA, 1371 nt
Filed under: uncultured bacterium
Lineage: Bacteria
Description: bacterial SSU rRNA
Rfam family: Bacterial small subunit ribosomal RNA
Source: RNAcentral
GAUGAACGCUGGCGGCGUGCCUAAUACAUGCAAGUCGAGCGAACGGACGAGAAGCUUGCUUCUCUGAUGUUAGCGGCGGACGGGUGAGUAACACGUGGAUAACCUACCUAUAAGACUGGGAUAACUUCGGGAAACCGGAGCUAAUACCGGAUAAUAUUUUGAACCGCAUGGUUCAAAAGUGAAAGACGGUCUUGCUGUCACUUAUAGAUGGAUCCGCGCUGCAUUAGCUAGUUGGUAAGGUAACGGCUUACCAAGGCAACGAUGCAUAGCCGACCUGAGAGGGUGAUCGGCCACACUGGAACUGAGACACGGUCCAGACUCCUACGGGAGGCAGCAGUAGGGAAUCUUCCGCAAUGGGCGAAAGCCUGACGGAGCAACGCCGCGUGAGUGAUGAAGGUCUUCGGAUCGUAAAACUCUGUUAUUAGGGAAGAACAUAUGUGUAAGUAACUGUGCACAUCUUGACGGUACCUAAUCAGAAAGCCACGGCUAACUACGUGCCAGCAGCCGCGGUAAUACGUAGGUGGCAAGCGUUAUCCGGAAUUAUUGGGCGUAAAGCGCGCGUAGGCGGUUUUUUAGUCUGAUGUGAAAGCCCACGGCUCAACCGUGGAGGGUCAUUGGAAACUGGAAAACUUGAGUGCAGAAGAGGAAAGUGGAAUUCCAUGUGUAGCGGUGAAAUGCGCAGAGAUAUGGAGGAACACCAGUGGCGAAGGCGACUUUCUGGUCUGUAACUGACGCUGAUGUGCGAAAGCGUGGGGAUCAAACAGGAUUAGAUACCCUGGUAGUCCACGCCGUAAACGAUGAGUGCUAAGUGUUAGGGGGUUUCCGCCCCUUAGUGCUGCAGCUAACGCAUUAAGCACUCCGCCUGGGGAGUACGACCGCAAGGUUGAAACUCAAAGGAAUUGACGGGGACCCGCACAAGCGGUGGAGCAUGUGGUUUAAUUCGAAGCAACGCGAAGAACCUUACCAAAUCUUGACAUCCUUUGACAACUCUAGAGAUAGAGCUUUCCCCUUCGGGGGACAAAGUGACAGGUGGUGCAUGGUUGUCGUCAGCUCGUGUCGUGAGAUGUCGGGUUAAGUCCCGCAACGAGCGCAACCCUUAAGCUUAGUUGCCAUCAUUAAGUUGGGCACUCUAAGUUGACUGCCGGUGACAAACCGGAGGAAGGUGGGGAUGACGUCAAAUCAUCAUGCCCCUUAUGAUUUGGGCUACACACGUGCUACAAUGGACAAUACAAAGGGCAGCGAAACCGCGAGGUCAAGCAAAUCCCAUAAAGUUGUUCUCAGUUCGGAUUGUAGUCUGCAACUCGACUACAUGAAGCUGGAAUCGCUAGUAAUCGUAGAUCAGCAUGCUACGGUGAAUACGUUCCCGGGUCU